Molecule: unclassified non-coding RNA, 276 nt
Filed under: Ascomycota sp.
Lineage: Eukaryota; Fungi; Ascomycota
Description: partial contains 5.8S ribosomal RNA, internal transcribed spacer 2, and large subunit ribosomal RNA
Rfam family: 5.8S ribosomal RNA (bases 1-71)
Source: RNAcentral
GUGAGUCAUCGAAUCUUUGAACGCACAUUGCACCCUCUGGUAUUCCGGGGGGUAUGCCUGUUCGAGCGUCAUUGCAACCCUCAAGCACUGCUUGGUAUUGGAUGCUACCACUGUGGUGCAUCUUAAAAGUAUUGGCAGUAGCAUUUGGCUUCUAGCAUAGUAAUUUUCUUGCUUUGGAGUCUGGAUGUCUGGCUGCUAGAACCCCUAAAUCAUUAAGGUUGACCUCGGAUCAGGUAGGGAUACCCGCUGAACUUAAGCAUAUCAAUAAGCGGAGGA